This is a long non-coding RNA of Danio aesculapii, 431 nucleotides long. RefSeq lists it as uncharacterized. The record is from RefSeq and is a predicted model, not a curated record. The transcript has 3 exons. Lineage: Eukaryota; Metazoa; Chordata; Actinopteri; Cypriniformes; Danionidae.
AUUGAGGCAGAUUUUGAUAAAGAGAAUGGGUGCCAUACAUCAGACCUCACAUUAAAUCAGGGAUGAAUCGAGAGAUGUCGUCCUCUGUUGCUGGUCUAUCUGUAUGAAUAAGAGAAAGAGCUUAUCCAGGAGUGCAAUUGUGGGAAUGCACAGAGAAUUGCUGUCUGUCAGAGGGAUGACCAACCAUGAGGACUUCUGCAUUGUCUUGGAGGAUAAGUGAGUCAUGGCUAGCCUGGAAAAUCUAGAAUCGCUGAACUGGAUUUAUACAAAUAUUCCACAAAUUAAAAUCACUUACAAAGAAAUGAAUAUUAAGUUUGCAAUACACAAAUUCUGUCAAAUAUUGUCUAAAAUGUGACUAUUCCUACAAAGGAAAGUUGACAGGUCAGUUUUUUCCAUGACAUGGAUAAAGGAAUUUUUAUCAGAGAUUAACA